RNAcentral lists this long non-coding RNA (502 nucleotides) under Hordeum vulgare. RNAcentral's name for it is "long non-coding RNA (HVUL_LNC017354)". Lineage: Eukaryota; Viridiplantae; Streptophyta; Magnoliopsida; Poales; Poaceae. The record is from RNAcentral.
CUCCUCCUCAUCCCAUCUGAGAAAACUCCUCGGUCGUCCAGCCCGGACUACCAUGCCCGCACAGGAUCUCGUAGCCCCUCGAUCCAAUCUUCGCCCUCGCCGGCGCGGGCGGCCUUGCCACUCUCCCGAGAAAAAUCCAUCUGAGACCGAGCCUGCGACCAGCGCCCUCACGAGAAGAUGAUGGCGUACGCAGCGUUAUCGAGGUCGACGAGUCCCUCGAUCCAAUCCUCGCCCUCGCCAUCACCGGCGUCGGCGUCCCCUCCCGUCUCCGUGCGGUCAUCCGGCUCAUCUCCGAUGACUAUGUCAUCGGUGCGGUCGCCGAGAAGAUGAUGGCGUACGCAGCGUUAUCGAGGUCGAGGAGUCCCUCGAUCCAAUCCUCGCCCUCGCCAUCACCGGCGUCGGCGUCCCCGCCCGUCUCCGUGGGGUCAUCCGGCUCAUCUCCGAUGACUAUGUCAUCGGUGCGGUCGCCGCGCCGGACAAUAACAACGCUCGCUCAUCGCUC